GACAUGCUCCCUCCUUCCGGAAUUACUUGUCGCACAAAUGGAUGUACCUAGAACUAAAAUACAUCUAGACACAUCCAUUCCUAUGACAAGUGUUUCCGAAUGGAGGGAGUAUUUU
Molecule: non-coding RNA, 115 nt
Organism: Hordeum vulgare subsp. vulgare (domesticated barley)
Lineage: Eukaryota; Viridiplantae; Streptophyta; Magnoliopsida; Poales; Poaceae
Source: Rfam